AGCUAGAGGGUUCCUUCUUCCUGUGGAGUUUUAUCUUCUGCUCCUCUGGCCACCCUCCUGAUGGAUCCCUGUGGUGCCAGGCAGGAAUGACCUGCUUAAGGACCCAGCGAGCUCCCAGGACCUUUCUGCUGCUUCCUCUACCCGUAUAUUUUGCUUGGUUCUCUACAUUGACUCAGCUCCAGCGAUUCCUGAGGAAUCUCAUCCACACUACCCUAUGGACUAAAAGGAAAACUCUUCAUGUGGUGUUAGCGCGGAGACAGGAAAGAGAGAAAGACAACAUCAUGCUUUGCUGUGUGUGUGUGAACUGAGUAACAGCUGUGAAGGAUCAGUCACCAAAAGACUUUGAAAGAAGAGGCUUGAUUGGUCACGGCCAUGGAACUUUAAUAGGGAGAAAAGAACAUCUGCUUAUAUGAAAACAUUAUAUUCAGCCAUCCCUGCCCUGACUUUGGCCUUUAAAAACAGUGGCAUUAAUUAUCUCAACAAAUGAAUCUUCGGGAUAAAAAUAAUCUAAAUAUUAUUUUACGCUUACUACUUAUUUGCAACGUGCUAAGCUCUUUAUGGUUGCUACCACAAAAAACAUUUAUAAUAUAAGACUUCACAAGAUUAGGAACAGGCUUCACUUCAUUGUGAUGUGUGUAAGGUGACAGAGGACAUAUAACGAAUACGUGGAAGAACCAGGAAUUUGACCUUAGCUUCCAGACAUUUUGAGGAGGAUACACUAUGUCCAUCUUGCUUUCCUAUCAAGAAAAGUAUACCCAGU
Gorilla gorilla gorilla (western lowland gorilla) is the source of this 760-nucleotide long non-coding RNA. RefSeq lists it as uncharacterized. Lineage: Eukaryota; Metazoa; Chordata; Mammalia; Primates; Hominidae. The transcript has 5 exons. The record is from RefSeq and is a predicted model, not a curated record.